UUCCGGUUGAUCCUGCCGGACCCGACUGCUAUUUGGGUGAGGAUAAGCCAUGCGAGUUGAAUGGGAUACCUAAAGUUCCCAUGGCAAACUGCUCAGUAACACAUGAUCAACUUACCCUAUAGAGAAAAAUAACCUCGGGAAACUGAGGAUAAUGUUUCAUAGUUGAAUUGGCUUGGAAAAGUUUUUCGACGAAAGGGGUAAAAAAAAUGGUUUUUAUCUGCUAUAGGAUAGGAUCGUGUUCGAUUAUGGUUGUUGGUGAGGUAAUGGCUCACCAAGCCGAUAAUCGAUAGGGGCCGUGAGAGCGGGAGCCCCGAGAUGGGUACUGAGACAACGACCCAGGCCUUACGAGGCGCAGCAGGCGCGAAACCUCCGCAAUACACGAAAGUGUGACGGGGUUACCCAAAGUGUUCAAUUUUGAACUGUGGUAGGUGAGUAAUGUUCCCUACUAGAAAGGAGAGGGCAAGGCUGGUGCCAGCCGCCGCGGUAAAACCAGCUCUUCAAGUGGUCGGGAUAAUUAUUGGGCUUAAAGUGUCCGUAGCCGGUUUAGUAAGUUCCUGGUAAAAUCGGGUAGCUUAACUAUCUAUAUGCUAGGAAUACUACUAUACUAGAGGGCGGGAGAGGUCUGAGGUACUACAGGGGUAGGGGUGAAAUCUUAUAAUCCUUGUUGGACCACCAGUGGCGAAGGCGUCAGACUGGAACGCGCCUGACGGUGAGGGACGAAAGCCAGGGGAGCGAACCGGAUUAGAUACCCGGGUAGUCCUGGCCGUAAACGAUGCAUACUAGGUGAUGGCACGGCCAUGAGCCGUGUCAGUGCCGUAGGGAAACCGUUAAGUGUGCCGCCUGGGAAGUACGGUCGCAAGGCUAAAACUUAAAGGAAUUGGCGGGGGAGCACCACAAGGGGUGAAGCCUGCGGUUCAAUUGGAUUCAACGCCGGA
RNAcentral lists this ribosomal RNA (935 nucleotides) under uncultured archaeon. RNAcentral's name for it is "bacterial SSU rRNA". It matches the Rfam family "Archaeal small subunit ribosomal RNA", at positions 1 to 922 of the family's 1478-position model. The record is from RNAcentral.